RNAcentral lists this ribosomal RNA (427 nucleotides) under uncultured bacterium. RNAcentral describes it as "partial 16S ribosomal RNA". It matches the Rfam family "Bacterial small subunit ribosomal RNA", at positions 355 to 774 of the family's 1533-position model. The record is from RNAcentral.
UGGGGAAUAUUGGACAAUGGGCGAAAGCCUGAUCCAGCCAUGCCGCGUGUGUGAAGAAGGUCUUCGGAUUGUAAAGCACUUUAAGUUGGGAGGAAGGGCAUUAACCUAAUACGUUAGUGUUUUGACGUUACCGACAGAAUAAGCACCGGCUAACUCUGUGCCAGCAGCCGCGGUAAUACAGAGGGUGCAAGCGUUAAUCGGAAUUACUGGGCGUAAAGCGCGCGUAGGUGGUCUGUUAAGUUGGAUGUGAAAUCCCCGGGCUCAACCUGGGAACUGCAUUCAAAACUGACUGACUAGAGUAUGGUAGAGGGUGGUGGAAUUUCCUGUGUAGCGGUGAAAUGCGUAGAUAUAGGAAGGAACACCAGCGGCGAAGGCGACCACCUGGACUAAUACUGACACUGAGGUGCGAAAGCGUGGGGAGCAAACA